Molecule: ribosomal RNA, 111 nt
Filed under: Oncorhynchus mykiss (rainbow trout)
Lineage: Eukaryota; Metazoa; Chordata; Actinopteri; Salmoniformes; Salmonidae
Source: RNAcentral
GCUUACGGCCACACCGGCCUGAGUACGGGUCCGAUCUCGGAAGCUAAGCAGGGUCGGGCCUGGUUAGUACUUGGAUGGGAGACCGCCUGGGAAUACCAGGUGCUGUAAGCU